GUAGCCUGGGAACUUUCAGAAUCAAGGGAAGAAACUGACCCCUGUUCAAGGACACAGAGCCAGAAACAAUGAGCGGCAGUUACAAAGAGGCAGAUGUGGUGUGGUGUCAGGGAAAAAACUCCCCAACAAUGAGACCUGUCCAAAGUUGGAUGGGCGGCUACCUCAAGAAGUUCUACCUCCUGGACUCUCUCUAAGCAGAGCUGGAUGACUACUUAUCAGGUAAUACCGGACACUGGAUGGGAACCAAUGGAUAUGGUCUGAUUCCCCAUUCUCAUUGUUCCUGUUGACCUAUUUAAUUUUCCACUUGGUUUUGGUCUUGAUCAUCAACUAUACCAAGUCUAUACCUCAAAAAGACCAAAAGAAAGAAGAAAAAAACCCAUAUAUGCAAAAUAUUUAUAGCUGCUCUUUUUGUGGUGGCAAA
Vombatus ursinus (common wombat) is the source of this 421-nucleotide long non-coding RNA. RefSeq lists it as uncharacterized. The record is from RefSeq and is a predicted model, not a curated record. The transcript has 3 exons. NCBI's taxonomy places the organism in Eukaryota, Metazoa, Chordata, Mammalia, Diprotodontia, Vombatidae.